CCUACGGGAGGCUGCAGUGGGGAAUAUUGGACAAUGGGUGAAAGCCUGAUCCAGCCAUGCCGCGUGUGUGAAGAAGGCCUUCGGGUUGUAAAGCACUUUCAGUGGGGAAGAAAGCCUUGGGGCUAAUACCCUCGAGGAAGGACAUCACCCACAGAAGAAGCACCGGCUAACUCCGUGCCAGCAGCCGCGGUAAUACGGAGGGUGCGAGCGUUAAUCGGAAUUACUGGGCGUAAAGCGCGCGUAGGCGGUCUGAUAAGCCGGUUGUGAAAGCCCCGGGCUCAACCUGGGAACGGCAUCCGGAACUGUCAGGCUAGAGUGCAGGAGAGGAAGGUAGAAUUCCCGGUGUAGCGGUGAAAUGCGUAGAGAUCGGGAGGAAUACCAGUGGCGAAGGCGGCCUUCUGGACUGACACUGACGCUGAGGUGCGAAAGCGUGGGUAGCAAACAGGAUUAGAUACCCGAGUAGUC
Molecule: ribosomal RNA, 465 nt
Filed under: Vreelandella stevensii
Lineage: Bacteria; Pseudomonadati; Pseudomonadota; Gammaproteobacteria; Oceanospirillales; Halomonadaceae
Description: partial 16S ribosomal RNA
Rfam family: Bacterial small subunit ribosomal RNA
Source: RNAcentral